This 75-nucleotide transfer RNA is filed under the name Pedobacter sp. RNAcentral's name for it is "tRNA-Cys". It matches the Rfam family "tRNA". From Rfam's summary of the family: Transfer RNA (tRNA) molecules are approximately 80 nucleotides in length. Their secondary structure includes four short double-helical elements and three loops (D, anti-codon, and T loops). Further hydrogen bonds mediate the characteristic L-shaped molecular structure. tRNAs have two regions of fundamental functional importance: the anti-codon, which is responsible for specific mRNA codon recognition, and the 3' end, to which the tRNAs corresponding amino acid is attached (by aminoacyl-tRNA synthetases). tRNAs cope with the degeneracy of the genetic code in two manners: having more than one tRNA (with a specific anti-codon) for a particular amino acid; and 'wobble' base-pairing, i.e. permitting non-standard base-pairing at the 3rd anti-codon position. The record is from RNAcentral. Lineage: Bacteria; Pseudomonadati; Bacteroidota; Sphingobacteriia; Sphingobacteriales; Sphingobacteriaceae.
AGUCAUGUGGCCGAGUGGUUUAGGUACAGGUCUGCAAAACCUUUUACGGCGGUUCGAGUCCGCCCAUGACGUCGA